AUACGUAGGGUGCAAGCGUUAAUCGGAAUUACUGGGCGUAAAGCGUGCGCAGGCGGUUUUGUAAGACAGUGGUGAAAUCCCCGGGCUCAACCUGGGAACUGCCAUUGUGACUGCAAGGCUGGAGUGCGGCAGAGGGGGAUGGAAUUCCGCGUGUAGCAGUGAAAUGCGUAGAUAUGCGGAGGAACACCGAUGGCGAAGGCAAUCCCCUGGGCCUGCACUGACGCUCAUGCACGAAGGCGUGGGGAGCAAACAGGAGUAGAUACCCUGGUAGUCCACGCCCUAAACGAUGUCAACUGGUUGUUGGGUCUUCAUUGACUCAGUAACGAAGCUAACGCGUGAAGUUGACCGCCUGGGGAGUACGGCCGCAAGGUUGAAACUCAAAGGAAUUGACGGGG
RNAcentral lists this ribosomal RNA (395 nucleotides) under uncultured bacterium. RNAcentral's name for it is "partial 16S ribosomal RNA". It matches the Rfam family "Bacterial small subunit ribosomal RNA", at positions 523 to 918 of the family's 1533-position model. The record is from RNAcentral.